CCCAAAUUUAAAUUUUGAUAAGUUUUACAAUUGUUUUUACUGCUUUUUAAUGUUUAUUUCCUUUAAAUAAAAGCCUCCCAAUUAUUAGCUAUUGCUCAGAAUGCAAACUAAAGGUCGUACUUGGCGUAAAAGACAAAAUAAAAGUGAAAAAGCAACGUCCUUAGCAUAUGGACAAGAGUACAUUACAUUGUUCCAAUGGGCAAAGCACAAUGGUGUUUUCUUUCAUAAAAUGAAACCAGCCAUCUUUCCUGGCACUGGCAGGGGAUUAAUGGCAACAAGACAGAUAAAUGUCGGUGAUUUGUUGAUCGCUGUUCCAAAACGAUUGCUGAUCACUGAACAAAUGCUAAGGUAUAUUAUAUAUUCACUAUUCCUACUUUGUAGUAUUGUAUUUGUACUUAGAUUUUAGUUGUUGUCUGUCUAUUAAGUAUAAAUAAUACAUAGAUUGUUUUAUUUAUCAGGUUGACAUUCAUGGGGGAUGCCCUCAUAUUUAUUCAUUAGAGUACCCCCCCCCCCCCGUGGAAGAAUUUCUUGAGAUCUUCCCCUCCCUGCAACUUUACAAGUCCCUGUCCAAUUUUACCAGUACACCCACCCCCUGUACAAAAAAGUCCUUUCUUCUGGAAAUUUAUAAGAACCAUCCCCACCCUGCCUUGAAAUUUUACAAGAGUAAAGAAUUGACAUCUCAAUCUGAUUAUUGUCCAGCAACAUGAUGUGUUCAUUAAAUUCACAUAUAAAACCUUUCAAAUAUUUUAGGAAUUAUUUUCUUGGUAUACCAACUCCACCAAAAACCCCAG
Paramuricea clavata is the source of this 791-nucleotide non-coding RNA. NCBI's taxonomy places the organism in Eukaryota, Metazoa, Cnidaria, Anthozoa, Malacalcyonacea, Plexauridae. The record is from the annotation of a GenBank genome assembly.